This 20-nucleotide microRNA is filed under the name Macrophomina phaseolina MS6. RNAcentral's name for it is "miR-3960". The record is from RNAcentral. Lineage: Eukaryota; Fungi; Ascomycota; Dothideomycetes; Botryosphaeriales; Botryosphaeriaceae.
UGCGGCGGCGGAGGCGGCGG